Molecule: ribosomal RNA, 460 nt
Filed under: uncultured bacterium
Lineage: Bacteria
Description: partial 16S ribosomal RNA
Rfam family: Bacterial small subunit ribosomal RNA
Source: RNAcentral
CCUACGGGAGGCAGCAGUGAGGAAUAUUGGUCAAUGGCCGGAAGGCUGAACCAGCCAUGCCGCGUGAAGGUCAGUGCCCUAUGGGCGUUAAACUUCUUUUGUGCGGGAGCAAUAAUGGUCACGUGUGGCCAGACGAGAGUACCGUACGAAUAAGCAUCGGCUAACUCCGUGCCAGCAGCCGCGGUAAUACGGGGGAUGCAAGCGUUAUCCGGAUUUAUUGGGUUUAAAGGGUGCGUAGGCUGUGAGGUAAGUCAGCGGUGAAAUGCCCCCGCGCAACGGGGUGAAGUGCCAUUGAUACUGCCUGGCUGGAGUGCGGAUGCGGUGGGAGGAAUGUGUGGUGUAGCGGUGAAAUGCAUAGAUAUCACACAGAACACCGAUUGCGAAGGCAUCUCACGAAUCCGCGAUUGACGCUGAUGCACGAAAGCGUGGGUAUCAAACAGGAUUAGAUACCCUAGUAGUC